This is a long non-coding RNA of Tribolium castaneum (red flour beetle), 863 nucleotides long. RefSeq lists it as uncharacterized. The transcript has 3 exons. The record is from RefSeq and is a predicted model, not a curated record. NCBI's taxonomy places the organism in Eukaryota, Metazoa, Arthropoda, Insecta, Coleoptera, Tenebrionidae.
UUUUUGAAUUUUUACGUAAGGAACCACAAUAUCCGGUUGCAAAGUUUAUGGAAUAUAAAAUCAUAUCGCAUCAAUGAUUAAUUCAUUUCUACUUCGACUGUCCGUGUAUGAAAGUAAUCAUGUUCAAGUGCUCUCAAUGCGAUAACAAGUUUACUCGCAAAGAUGCUUUAACACGUCAUGUAAAAAAACAUAGUGAUAAAUUAUCUAAACUCACUUGCACCGGAUGUAAAACGUCAUUUACGAGAUUUGAUAACUAUAGGCGUCAUAUUACAAAUUCAUCAUUGUGUUCAAUGGAUUCGGAUGAUAUGACUCCUAAAAAAGCCCGCCUGACAACUAGAACACCUUUACAAGAAGUUACUACUAACGCUCCAUCAUGUUCAUUUCAUCAAUUUUGUGAAAUAUGCAAUAGUCACUACAGAGGAUCCAGAUUAAACCAUUUACGUUCUUUAAAACAUAAAAGUGUCAUCUCCGCCAAAAUUAAUGAUGAUGAUGAUUUCGUUGAAGAAUAUCAAGUUGCCUUCAAAUCAAGAAUUACCUCAUACCGAUUGAAAAAUUCACAACUAGAUGACUUGGAAGUGUGCAAUUUUUUUGAAAGAAAUCAAGAUAAACUUAUCACUUUAAUAACUAGAAAACUGAGAGAAUUUAACCAACUUAAAAUUAAUUUCGAACUUUUUGCUAAAUAUAUUUUACCUUCUAAAGACAUUAUCGAAAUCAAAUCAUUCAACACUAAAAAUAUCAUCAUUUCAAUAUCGACAAAUAUUAAGGUAGAACUGGAAGAAAUAUGUGGCGUCAUAAAAAACAAAAUGAGUGAAUUCUUGGAAAAAGAUAGUGGUAAGUAAUAUCAAUUUUAUUUAUAAACAUAU